UGCUUUGUGCAGAAACAGUAUAAUAGCCAAUGAGGUAUAUCUGAGGUGUGAUUAUUGCUCAUUGAAAACGUUUCCCAGCUGGGUAUAGUGGCUCAAACCUGUAAUCCCAGCACUUUGGG
This 119-nucleotide small nuclear RNA is filed under the name Carlito syrichta (Philippine tarsier). RNAcentral's name for it is "U4 spliceosomal RNA (ENSTSYG00000024331.2)". The stretch from base 1 to 80 matches the Rfam family "U4 spliceosomal RNA". Rfam says of the family: U4 small nuclear RNA (U4 snRNA) is a component of the major U2-dependent spliceosome. The structure of U4 snRNA from yeast and human has been reported. Lineage: Eukaryota; Metazoa; Chordata; Mammalia; Primates; Tarsiidae. The record is from RNAcentral.